UUGGAACGCCGUCAGAGCUCAUUAAUAUUCCGCUGUCCCACAAUUCAUAGCAACUUCUCCUUGUCCCCCAGGGAAGAAGCCGUAACCCUGAAAGGUGUGCCUCAUGAGAAGGAGACACACAGAUGAACAUUCUGCAGAAACAUUCGGAGCGUGUGCUGUGCCUGUCAGACUAGAGGAAACGGCGGCGGGGAUCACGCAGAGAGCACAGUGGGGUUCGGCACGGGCCGAGGAAGCGCCGGUUCUCUGAUGAGCUCCUCUGACAGCCCGGCUCACGCCCUCUCCCUGGGAUGCAGAGAGCAGCUGGAUGAUGCCUAGAAUGAGCGCUGAGCGGGCCGGAUGGGCUCAAUGGUUCUCCUCCCAGCUAUCGCCUGCACUCUGACUUUCAGCUUAAGAACCAGGCAUUGGCAGUGAGGAGGGGUGACCUCUGAAACGUGGCACCUUUCUGUCCAGUUUAAGCAUGGACACCGCUGCAGUAAGGAAUCAUGAUCAGGGCUCUGGACUCGUAACCAGAGAAUUGUGAGGAUCAGUUCUCGAACAGGACGGGACUGUGCUUCAAUCAGAUUUCUCCGGUUAAAUUGCCCUGCUACAUCAAUGGGCACAAAUAUCAGCCCCCUGCUGACUUCUGCUCUAUUUCCCUCACUGAUUUCUGAUUGGAGAGGGAGAGAGAGGCCAGGAGGGGGGUUACUGACAAUCUGACUGGCUGAUGGCCUGGACACUACAGCACACUGACACUGCGCUGAGUAAGAGGGAGGAGCUCCAUCACUGAAACACAAGCAGCCCUCAGUGUCACCCAGUGCCCCAGCAUACUGAAACUUUGGGGUGCUCAGCCCCCCCUCCCUGGAGGUCCCUGUGAGGUGUCCCUGCGGUGGUACGACGUGGCUCGGAGGGCAGGAGGGAACUGAAAAAGGACAGUCUUCCUCGACGCUAGCCCCACCAGCGCCCUGAGCUCCAGCCGGCAGCCAUCAGCAUUUCUCUGGACGGAGCGCCGUUUCCCAGCGGGAGCCGUUUCCCAGCGGGAGCCGUUUCCCAGCGGGAGCCGUUUCCCAGCGGGCGCGUGCCGCGAGUCUCCAAUCCACGGCCUCCGCGCACGAUCUGGGCCCGAGCUGCGCUGCGCCCGGUUUCCCGAGCUUGCUUACUGCAGCUCAAAAGACAAUCGCAGCACCGCAGUGAGUGUGUUUUGUCAAAUACGAUGUUUACCAUGGCGAGGCCAGGGAGGAGGAGGAGGAGAGGAGCUGGAGAGACGUCUGUUUCCAAGGAGAUCCGCUCGUGCCUCAAGGCUGGAACGGAGAUGACUCUGAAAGGGGACCUGAUUGACGUAUUCAAAGCCCUUGUCAAGGCAUGGACAAAGACCACCCUGCGCGUUUCUUCCAGAGGAAACCCGGACACAGAAACCAGAGCCCACAGGCGGAAACCUUGUUGCAGUGCAUUCGACACCAGGACCGAGUGGCAUGCCUGUGCCCGAAGAGAGGUGGGAGUGUGGAACAAGCCGCCCAGCCAUGCUGUUGAAGCCGAUUCCCUGGCUUCCUUUCAGAAAGAGGUGGAUGAGAUGCUGAGGACGAGUUGGAUACUCAUCCCUGGACAGGCCUCCUCCUGUCCGCUAGUGUUCUUAUGUUUUUCAUGCGCGGUAGAAAAGUCCUCGGGCUAGACAAGCCUGAACCGGGAGGCCACACGGGACAGUGCAGGGGCAGAGCCUGCGUCAUGAGCCGGGGCAAGACAGUGGGGAGGCUGGAGGGAGGGGGGCGAGAGACGAGCAGAGAGGAAGAUGGGGGGGGUUAAGGCCUGGCUGGUGGACAGGAUGGUAGGCAAGGAAAAGUUCUGGUGCCCGGAAGAUGCAUCUAGGGUGCAGAGAACCCAGACUAGUGAGCAUAUAGUGACUGUCUCUCUCACAGAGACCCUGAUGGCCCGCUUACAGAAUAGGCCUGUCAGGGGUGUUCAUGUAAUCAGCUGUGUCUGUCUCUGAGUCUCCAUUUUGCUCCUUUUAUCUCCCCUUGGCUUCUGCUUGACCUCUCUCUGGCCUUUGGGCAUUUCCACCUUUUUCUUCCUCUCCUUGCCUCUUUUCCCAUCGCCUCAGAAUGCCACUCUUCCUCGCCCCCCUCUCUCUCUCUCUGGUCUCCGAGUCGCCUGAAAAAUCCCUGGUGCAAGCUCGCCCUCUGGUGGCCAUGGGGGCACAGUACAUCUGCGGCGGUGUCUUUGUGUGUGCUGAAGGUCGGCCUCAAACGCUGUAGAUGUGGAAAUCGAUGCUCGUCUCUCCUCAUGCAGCUGCCGAUGGCUGCGACAGGCCGGGAUGGCAAACCAGGUCAUUCUUACGACUCUCCUGCCACAGGGCUGCAGACUUCUGUUCAAGUCAAUCAGCCCUGAUGAGUGAACCUCCCAGUCCUGGCCUGGUCUAGAGUCCAGGGGACAGCCCGGCCUCAUUAUUGACCAUGAUUUAUGGCACAAUUAUGCCACAAUAGAACCUAGAACUGCAAGAGCCUGAUUUAUCACGCCAGUCAGUUUAGAAACUUCAGAGAGCACCGUAAAACACACAGCCAUGGCAUCGUUUCCACAAUCCCCUCGUGGUCACCAGGACUUCAGGCUGUGUAAUGCACAUAAACAAGAAAUAAUAACUUACUGACAAAUUAGAACAUGUAAAAUAAAUAAGAGUGCAAGCCAUUUGUCUGGAGUUUAAAGUAAAGGGCUGUUGACACAAGAUUCCUUAAUGAAGCCUGGUUACCAGACCAGAGGUGUUAAGGGUGGUUUCGUCCCUGACCAGCUGUGUGUUAAGUGUGGUUUCGUCCCCGACCAGCUCUAUGUUAAGUGUUGUUUCAUCACCGACCAGCUGUGUGUUAAAGGUGGUUUCGUCACAGACUAGCCGUGUGUUAAGUGUGGUUUUGUCACCAACCAGCUGUGUUAAGUGUGGUUUUGUCACCGAUCAGCUUUGUUAAGUGUGGUUUCGUCACCGACUAGCUGUGUGUUAAAUGUGGUUUUGUCACCGACUACCAGUGUGUUAAGUGUGGUUUCGUCACAGAGCAGAGUUGUGUUCAGAAUGGUUUUGUGACUGACCAGCUGUGUGUUAAGAGUCCUUACUAACUUACUGAAUGAGUCUUGUCUCUGCUGAGGUAAUAUCAUAGCCCCUAGUACAGCCCACUAUUGUUACAGGACUAUUCUCUUCUCUUACUGUAACCUCCACUUUAACAGAACCCCUCUACUCUAUCCCCUAUUCCAGAAGGCCUGUCCUGAAUUUUUGCCAUAUUCUUACUGUCACACAACAUUCUUGUUGUCCUCGAGACCUGACCCUUCACGCAAGAAAAGGAAUGCACUGAACUGCAGCUGAAUGAACUGCAAUGAAUAUAGUCGCUGUGUUUUAGAAAAGAUACUUCUGCUCUGGAAACUGGCAAUCAGAUACAUUCUGGGGCUCAAGGGAAUGUCCUGACAGGCUGAAGGAACUGAGCCUUGUUUUCUUACACAGAGAACCUGAUACACAGAGACACUGACAGAAUCAGCCCUGCGUGAACUGUGCCACAUGAACCAGAAGACAGCACUGGAAACUCUGGGGAAGAGCACUGAAGUCUGAGAACAAGAGGCACUUUUUUUUGCGCAGACACUGGUGGGAAUGUGGGACAAACUGCCCAGCCUUCUGGCUUUUCUGGACACCCCACUCACAGCGCUGGACAGGU
Non-coding RNA from Lepisosteus oculatus (spotted gar), 3656 nucleotides. NCBI's taxonomy places the organism in Eukaryota, Metazoa, Chordata, Actinopteri, Semionotiformes, Lepisosteidae. The record is from RefSeq and is a predicted model, not a curated record.